AACGAACGCUGGCGGCAUGCCUAACACAUGCAAGUCGAACGGGACCUCCGUGUGUGGUUGCGCACGGGUGCGUAACGCGGGGGAACCGGCCCUUAGGCUCGGAAUAACACCCCUUAGGGGGGGCUAAUACAGGGUAACGUACUCGGAUAAAGUAUUUAUCGCAUUUGGGUGGGCCCGAGUUGUUUUAGCCAGUGGGUAGUGUAAGAGCCUACGAAGGCCACGAUCCAUAGCUGGUCUGAGAGGAUGAUCAGCCACUCUGGGACGGAGACACGGCCCAGAGUCCUGCAGGAUGCAGGAGAGGGGAAUCCUGGACUACCGGCGAAAGGCAGAACCAGCAAUGCUGCGUGAGUGAUGAAGGCCUUAGGGUUGUAAAGCUCUUUUACCCGCGGCGAUACUGACAGUACCGGGAGAAUAAGCUCCGGCUAACUCCGUG
RNAcentral lists this ribosomal RNA (433 nucleotides) under uncultured bacterium. Its description in RNAcentral is "partial 16S ribosomal RNA". It matches the Rfam family "Bacterial small subunit ribosomal RNA", at positions 29 to 507 of the family's 1533-position model. The record is from RNAcentral.